AUUUAUUGGAUUUUAGGUUUUGGGGUACAUGAGCAGAGCAUGCAAGACAGUUGCGUAGGUACACACAUGGCAGUGUGCUUUGCUUUUCUUCUCCCCUUCACCCACAUUUGGCAUUUCUCCCCAGGCUAUCCCUCCCCACCUCCCCCUCCCACUGGCCCUCCCCUUUUCCUCCCAAUAGACCCCAGUGUUUAGUGCUCCCCUUUCUGUGUCCAUGUGUUCUCAUUUUUCAUCACCCACCUAUGAGUGAGAAUAUGCGGUGUUUCAUUUUCUGUUCUUGUGUCGGUUUGCUGAGGAUGAUGUUCUCCAGAUUCAUCCAUGUCCCUACAAACGACACAAACUCAUCAUUUCUGAUUGCUGCAUAAUAUUCCAUGGUGUAUAUGUGCCACAUUUGUCCAAUCCAGUCUGUUAUCAAUGGGCAUUUGGGUUGAUUCCAGGUCUUUGCUAUUGUAAACAGUGCUGCAAUGAACAUUCGUGUACAUGUGUCCUUAUAGUAGAAUGAUUUAUAGUCUUUUGGAUAUAUAUCCAGUAAUGGGAUUGCUGGGUCAUAUGGAAUUUCUAUUUCUAAGGCCUUGAGGAAUCGCCACACUGUCUUCCACAAUGGUUGAACUAAUUUACACUCCCACCAACAGUGUAAAAGUGUUCCUUUUUCUCCACAUCCUCUCCAGCAUCUGUUGUCUCCAGAUUUUUUAAUAAUCGCCAUUCUAACUGGCAUGAGAUGGUAUCUCAAUGUGGUUUUGAUUUGCAUCUCUCUGAUGACCAGUGAUGAUGAGCAUUUUUUCAUAUGAUUGUUGGCCUCAUAUAUGUCUUCUUUCGUAAAAGUGUUCCUAUUUCUCCACAUCCUCUCCAGCAUCUGUUGUCUCCAGAUUUUUUAAUGAUCGCCAUUCUAACUGGCGUGAGAUGGUAUCUCAAUGUGGUUUUGAUUUACAUUUCUCUAAUGACCAGUGAUGAUAAGCAUUUUUUCAUAUGAUUCUUGGCCUCAUAUAUGUCUUCUUUUGUAAAGCGUCUGUUCAUAUCCUUUGCCCAUUUUUGAAUGGGCUUGUUUUUUUCCUGUAAAUCUGUUUCUGUUCUUCGUAAAUUCUGGAUAUCAGCCCUUUGUCAGAUGGGUAAACUGCAAACAUUUUUUCCCAUUCUGUUGGUUGCCGAUUCACUUUAGUGACUGUUUCUUUUGCCGUGCAGAAGCUGUGGAGUUUCAUUUUUGAAUGGGCUUGUUUUUUUCCUGUAAAUCUGUUUCUGUUCUUCGUAAAUUCUGGAUAUCAGCCCUUUGUCAGAUGGGUAGACUGCGAAAAUUUUUUCCCAUUCUGUUGGUUGCCGAUCCACUCUAGUGACUGUUUCUUUUGCCGUGCAGAAGCUGUGGAGUUUCAUUAGGUCCCAUUUGUCUAUUUUGGCUUUUGUUGCCAAUGCUUUUGGUGUUUUGUUCAUGAAGUCCUUGCCUACUCCUAUGUCCUGGAUAGUUUUGCCUAGAUAUCCUUCUAGGGUUUUUAUGGUGCCAGGUCUUAUGUUUAAGUCUUUAAUCCAUCUGGAGUUAAUUUUAGUGUAAGGUGUCAGGAAGGGGUCCAGUUUCUGCUUUCUGCACAUGGGUAGCCAGU
Molecule: long non-coding RNA, 1586 nt
Organism: Callithrix jacchus (white-tufted-ear marmoset)
Lineage: Eukaryota; Metazoa; Chordata; Mammalia; Primates; Cebidae
Source: Ensembl